This is a long non-coding RNA of Mauremys mutica (yellowpond turtle), 828 nucleotides long. RefSeq lists it as uncharacterized. The record is from RefSeq and is a predicted model, not a curated record. The transcript is spliced from 3 exons. Lineage: Eukaryota; Metazoa; Chordata; Testudines; Geoemydidae.
UGAAAAUUGCUCUGCCCGAGGUUUGGUCCGAAUCAAACCGCCGUGUAGGGCCGGGCCCUGAGCGCACACCGGCUCGGCUCAGAGACCCACAGAUCUUUCCGAGAUUGAUUCGAAACGACUCGUUUGGACCGAUAGAUGGACGCGAGCAGGGUAUCGAAAUAAGAACGGAGAUUAUUUUAUUCAAGCUCAAAGCCUCCCGAGCACUGGGACAAAUCUCCACGGGGAAACACAAUUCUUUUCUACUUUGGCAGAGUGAAAUUAGACGCUUUAGAAAUCAGGGAACUGCGGUUUCAGAUCCACAGUGAUCCACUGGGAAGGUGGUUAUUACACGGCGCGACUCUCGCAGGGCGGCUUGCCUGUGUGGUGGAAGUUUCCCCGGCUACCGAGGAGGGAAAACAACUGCAAAUAAAAUAAAUCAUCAACAUCAUUUCUGCUCUGCCUGGGAUUUCCUGCCGGAUUCUCAUUCAAGUCACCUGCCUCGGAAUCAGAUCUUCCACCUUUUCUAGGCCAGGCAACAAAAGCGAAAUGGAAGGAGCCGAGGUGGGCCCAGGAGAGAGAUGCCGGCUCUGGGAUCGUGAGUACGUUCAAAUGGCCCUGCAGGUGUUUUUCGGUCUUUCCCCACCCUCCCCCUACGUCUUCCUUCCCGAGCUCUACCAUCUCUCUUCUGACUCUGCAGGAAAGUGAUUCCCCAUGCCCCUUGCCCUCUCUCUGCAGUCCCCCGUGUAGACAAGCCCCGAGAAAGGAAAGUGAUUCCGGAGAUCAGACCUGCAGCAGUUUCCGAGGACUGGAGGCGCGUCUCCCCCCCGGCCACCCUGUUAAUCUGUAACA